RNAcentral lists this ribosomal RNA (478 nucleotides) under uncultured bacterium. RNAcentral's name for it is "partial 16S ribosomal RNA". It matches the Rfam family "Bacterial small subunit ribosomal RNA", at positions 28 to 507 of the family's 1533-position model. The record is from RNAcentral.
GAUGAACGCUGGCGGCGUGCUUAACACAUGCAAGUCGAACGGGAAACCUUUUAUUGAAGCUUCGGCAGAUUUAGCUGGUUUCUAGUGGCGGACGGGUGAGUAACGCGUGGGUAACCUGCCUUAUACAGGGGGAUAACAACCAGAAAUGGUUGCUAAUACCGCAUAAGCGCACAGGACCGCAUGGUCCGGUGUGAAAAACUCCGGCGGUAUAAGAUGGACCCGCGUUGGAUUAGCUAGUUGGCAGGGUAACGGCCUACCAAGGCGACGAUCCAUAGCCGGCCUGAGAGGGUGAACGGCCACAUUGGGACUGAGACACGGCCCAGACUCCUACGGGAGGCAGCAGUGGGGAAUAUUGCACAAUGGGGGAAACCCUGAUGCAGCGACGCCGCGUGAAGGAAGAAGUAUCUCGGUAUGUAAACUUCUAUCAGCAGGGAAGAUAGUGACGGUACCUGACUAAGAAGCCCCGGCUAACUACGUG